This 82-nucleotide small RNA is filed under the name Marmota monax (woodchuck). Lineage: Eukaryota; Metazoa; Chordata; Mammalia; Rodentia; Sciuridae. The record is from RNAcentral.
GCCAGGCAUGGUGGAGCAUGCCUGUAUUCCCAGUGACAUGGGAGGCUGAGGCAGGAAGAUGAUAGGUUAUAGCCAACCUCAU